UACAGAGGUCUCGAGCGUUGUUCGGAUUCAUUGGGCGUAAAGGGUGCGUAGGUGGCAGAGUAAGUCUGGUGUGAAAUCCCGGGGCUCAACCCCGGAACUGCACUGGAUACUGCUUUGCUAGAGUACUGGAGAGGAGAUUGGAAUUUACGGUGUAGCAGUGAAAUGCGUAGAUAUCGUAAGGAAGACCAGUGGCGAAGGCGAAUCUCUGGACAGUUACUGACACUGAGGCACGAAGGCCAGGGGAGCAAACGGG
RNAcentral lists this ribosomal RNA (253 nucleotides) under uncultured bacterium. RNAcentral's name for it is "partial 16S ribosomal RNA". It matches the Rfam family "Bacterial small subunit ribosomal RNA", at positions 524 to 776 of the family's 1533-position model. The record is from RNAcentral.